CAGGAACCCAAAUGGAAGAUUUUGAAGUUCUCCAUCUGUGAGUUGUCACCAUGGAACCCUGAUUCUCCAGUUUAUCUAGAAUGAAGAUUUUCAAAAAUGCUCAGCGUGGACUCAGGAACUUGGUUCUCGAGGCUAGAGGAGUGUGCUGUUGCAUAGUGACGAACUUGUUCUAAUGAGGGAACCUGUGAUAAAGUGUGAUAGGCAGUGAUAAUGAUGGAAGUCCAGGAUUCUACACCAAAGUGAUAAACUUCAUUCUGGCCUUCCUUGUGCCCAAUUGUCUUCAGCUGGAUAUGAGCUCUAGCCUGGAGCUAUUUACACCAUGAUCAGGCUAGUAAUUAGCAAAAUGUUUAAUAUAAUAUAGAAGCAAUUAGGAGGUGAUAACAUGCAAUUAAGAUGUGUUUUCAGAUUAAAGAUUUUAUAGUGCUCUCUUUCUUGAAAAGAUAAAGUGCCUAUCUCAAAAUGUCAAACUGCAGUGAUUUAAUCUGAAUUAUUUUCAAUUAAUAUGCAUGUAUUCUUGCUAUGUGUUCACCAUUGUUAUUGACAUUGAUAAAUUAAGCUCAUCCCUGCAGAAUUUAUCCUUGAGUCGCUCUAUAUUUCCUGAAUGUCAGCUCUUCAUUCGGUUGUUUUUUUUUAUUCCUACAAGCUGUGCACGAUCUAACUCUUAAGUCCCCUGAUUCAUCCCUGGGAUUACAGUGAUGUGUCAGUCUGAGUGGAACAAUAAUCUGAAAGGGCAUUGUUAUAAAUAGUG
Long non-coding RNA from Gopherus evgoodei (Goodes thornscrub tortoise), 748 nucleotides. RefSeq lists it as uncharacterized. The transcript has 4 exons. Lineage: Eukaryota; Metazoa; Chordata; Testudines; Testudinidae. The record is from RefSeq and is a predicted model, not a curated record.